This 63-nucleotide transfer RNA is filed under the name Chelonia mydas (Green sea turtle). It matches the Rfam family "tRNA". From Rfam's summary of the family: Transfer RNA (tRNA) molecules are approximately 80 nucleotides in length. Their secondary structure includes four short double-helical elements and three loops (D, anti-codon, and T loops). Further hydrogen bonds mediate the characteristic L-shaped molecular structure. tRNAs have two regions of fundamental functional importance: the anti-codon, which is responsible for specific mRNA codon recognition, and the 3' end, to which the tRNAs corresponding amino acid is attached (by aminoacyl-tRNA synthetases). tRNAs cope with the degeneracy of the genetic code in two manners: having more than one tRNA (with a specific anti-codon) for a particular amino acid; and 'wobble' base-pairing, i.e. permitting non-standard base-pairing at the 3rd anti-codon position. The record is from Rfam by way of RNAcentral. Lineage: Eukaryota; Metazoa; Chordata; Testudines; Cheloniidae.
GGCAGUGUAGCUUAGUGGAUAGAGCACUAGCCUUGGAUGCUGGUUCUAUUCCUGGUUCUGCCA